RNAcentral lists this ribosomal RNA (497 nucleotides) under uncultured bacterium. RNAcentral's name for it is "partial 16S ribosomal RNA". It matches the Rfam family "Bacterial small subunit ribosomal RNA", at positions 28 to 507 of the family's 1533-position model. The record is from RNAcentral.
GAUGAACGCUGGCGGCGUGCCUAAUACAUGCAAGUCGAGCGAACGGACGAGAAGCUUGCUUCUCUGAUGUUAGCGGCGGACGGGUGAGUAACACGUGGAUAACCUACCUAUAAGACUGGGAUAACUUCGGGAAACCGGAGCUAAUACCGGAUAAUAUUUUGAACCGCAUGGUUCAAAAGUGAAAGACGGUCUUGCUGUCACUUAUAGAUGGAUCCGCGCUGCAUUAGCUAGUUGGUAAGGUAACGGCUUACCAAGGCAACGAUGCAUAGCCGACCUGAGAGGGGGAUCGGCCACCCUGGAACUGAGACACGGUCCAGACUCCUACGGGAGGCAGCAGUAGGGAAUCUUCCGCAAUGGGCGAAAGCCUUACGGAGCAACGCCGCGUGAGUGAUGAAGGUCUUCGGAUCGUAAAACUCUGUUAUGAGGGAAGAACAUAUGUGUAAGUAACUGUGCACAUCUUGACGGUAACUAAUCAGAAAGCCACGGCUAACUACGUG